UGCAAGUCGAACGGAAACGAUGCUAGCUUGCUAGCAGGCGUCGAGUGGCGGACGGGUGAGUAAUGUAUAGGGAUCUGCCUAGUAGUGGGGGACAACAUGUGGAAACGCAUGCUAAUACCGCAUACGCUCUACGGAGGAAAGUGGGGGACCUUUCGGGGCCUCAUGCUACUAGAUGAACCUAUAUUGGAUUAGCUUGUUGGUAAGGUAAUGGCUUACCAAGGCGACGAUCCAUAGCUGGUUUGAGAGAAUGAUCAGCCACACUGGGACUGAGACACGGCCCAGACUCCUACGGGAGGCAGCAGUGGGGAAUAUUGCACAAUGGACGAAAGUCUGAUGCAGCAAUGCCGCGUGUGUGAAGAAGGCCUUAGGGUUGUAAAGCACUUUCAGACGUGAGGAAAAGUAAUAAUUUAAUAAAUUAUACCUUGACGUA
RNAcentral lists this ribosomal RNA (430 nucleotides) under uncultured Gammaproteobacteria bacterium. RNAcentral's name for it is "bacterial SSU rRNA". It matches the Rfam family "Bacterial small subunit ribosomal RNA", at positions 56 to 482 of the family's 1533-position model. Lineage: Bacteria; Pseudomonadati; Pseudomonadota; Gammaproteobacteria. The record is from RNAcentral.